UGUAUCAGGUCUCUGUUCAUCAAGACAUGAAGACUCUGGAGUGGGACAAGAGAAGGAUGGUGGGGUGUUAUUCCAAUAGACACAUUAAGUGAAAGCUGAUAAAUACAGAGGGCUGGACAGUGGUUUCAUUGAUUAAGUAAAGAGGUGGGACAAGGAUGCUGACAGGACAGGAGGAGGUGACAUUCAGGUUAGUGACAGUACAUCAGGGC
This is a non-coding RNA of Paramisgurnus dabryanus, 209 nucleotides long. NCBI's taxonomy places the organism in Eukaryota, Metazoa, Chordata, Actinopteri, Cypriniformes, Cobitidae. The record is from RefSeq and is a predicted model, not a curated record.